RNAcentral lists this ribosomal RNA (689 nucleotides) under uncultured bacterium. RNAcentral describes it as "bacterial SSU rRNA". It matches the Rfam family "Bacterial small subunit ribosomal RNA", at positions 75 to 779 of the family's 1533-position model. The record is from RNAcentral.
GGAGCUUGCUUUAUAUAACUUAGCAGCGAACGGGUGAGUAACACGUAGAUAAUCUAUCCUAUACUGGGGGAUAGCCCGGUGAAAGUUGGAUUAAUACCGCAUAUAGCUAUAUAGUUGCAUGAUUAUGUAGUGAAAGAUUUAUUGGUAUAGGAGGAGUCUGCGGCACAUUAGCUAGUAGGUGAGGUAAAGGCUUACCUAGGCGACGAUGUGUAGCCGGUCUGAGAGGAUGAACGGCCACAAUGGAACUGAGACACGGUCCAUACUCCUACGGGAGGCAGCAGUGGGGAAUAUUGCACAAUGGGGGAAACCCUGAUGCAGCAACGCCGCGUGAGUGAAGAAGGUUUUCGGAUUGUAAAGCUCUGUUAGCAGGGAAGAGGAAGGACGGUACCUGCAGAGGAAGCCACGGCUAACUACGUGCCAGCAGCCGCGGUAAUACGUAGGUGGCAAGCGUUGUUCGGAAUAACUGGGCGUAAAGGAUGCGUAGGCGGUUAAACAAGUUAUAUGUUAAAUAUAUAGGCUUAACCUGUAGAAAGCAUAUAAAACUGUUUAACUAGAGUGCAGGAGAGGUAAGUGGAAUUCCUAGUGUAGCGGUGAAAUGCGUAGAGAUUGGGAAGAACACCAGUGGCGAAGGCGACUUACUGGACUGUAACUGACGCUGAGGCAUGAGAGCAUGGGGAGCAAACAGGAUU